RNAcentral lists this long non-coding RNA (286 nucleotides) under Mustela putorius furo (domestic ferret). RNAcentral describes it as "lncRNA (ENSMPUG00000029921.1)". Lineage: Eukaryota; Metazoa; Chordata; Mammalia; Carnivora; Mustelidae. The record is from RNAcentral.
AAUGUUCUCUGUAAUUUCUGAAAGUAAUUGUGUGAAGUGGAUAUUAAUUCUUUAAAUAUUUACAUAAUUAAUUGGUGAGGCCAUCUGUGCCUGGUGAUUUCUUUAUUGAGAGAGCACACAAGCAAGGGAAGCAGCAGAGGGACAGAGAGAAGCAGUUCUUUGCUGAGCAGGGAGCCCAAUGAACGGCUUCAUCAUAGGACGCUGGGAUCAUGACCUGAGCCAAAGGCAGGUGAUUAACUGACUGAGUCACUCAGGCACCCCACUGAAUUUUUUCUAAUUUCUCUUA